CUGUGUUUCAGCUUGUGUUCACUGCAUCUUGUUCUGCCAGUAGGCACCACUGACAAUAGCCUGGCCCCACUGUUUGAGCUUAGAAACAGGAGAAUAAAGUUCUGCAACAGCAUAAAUGGAGACCUCCCAUAGUUGCUGAUGACUGAUAAGUGUCAGCUGUAAUUACAGCCAAAAACAUCAGAAAAGUCUAACAUAACAACCUACUGAAAGGUAAUGACUUCAUCAAUGAUGCUGAUCCAUGAAUAUUGCAGGUCACUGUCCCUCCUGAGCUGCUAAUGAGUUGUCCUCCUGUGACACCCAUCUGAAUCCCUCCAGUGCCCACCAUGCUAUGAGAGGAGACCACUGUUGUCACCUGCGCAGAACUUCCUUGAGUAUCAAAAUAAUUUCCCCCAGUGUUUUGGCUGUACAUCUGGGUUUCUGUGUAAGGGGUGAAUUUAAAAUUGGACAUGAAUUUGUACUACGAUGAAAAAGUGCAUUGAAAAAAUAAAACCAAAUUAGAACUAUGA
Molecule: long non-coding RNA, 506 nt
Organism: Coturnix japonica (Japanese quail)
Lineage: Eukaryota; Metazoa; Chordata; Aves; Galliformes; Phasianidae
Source: RefSeq, a predicted model, not a curated record